AACGAACGCUGGCGGCAUGCCUAACACAUGCAAGUCGAACGAGACCUUCGGGACUAGUGGCGCACAGGGGCGUAACGCGGGGGAACCUGCCCGUAGACUCGGAAUAACUCCCCGUAAGGGGUGCUAAUACAGGAUAAUGUCUGCGGACAAAAGAUUUUUCGCCCUUGGCUGGGCCGGAGUUCGUUUCACUAGGUGGGAGGGUAAAAGCCUACCAAGGAGACGAUCGUUAGCUGGGCUGAGAGACUGAUCCGCCACGCUUGGACUGAGACGCGGGCCAGACUCCUACGGGAGGCAGCAGUGGGUAAUCUUGGACAAUGGGCGGAGGCCUGAUCCAGCACUGCCGCUUGAGUGCUUAAGGCCUUAGGGUUGUAAAGCUCUUUUACCCGGCAUUAUAAUGACGGUACCGGGAGAAUAAGCACCGGCUAACUCCGUG
Molecule: ribosomal RNA, 433 nt
Filed under: uncultured bacterium
Lineage: Bacteria
Description: partial 16S ribosomal RNA
Rfam family: Bacterial small subunit ribosomal RNA
Source: RNAcentral